Non-coding RNA from Haemophilus parahaemolyticus HK385, 37 nucleotides. The record is from Rfam. NCBI's taxonomy places the organism in Bacteria, Pseudomonadati, Pseudomonadota, Gammaproteobacteria, Pasteurellales, Pasteurellaceae.
GUCUCAAUCCCUUUGAAACAGGGCAGUGUCUUUCGAC